CGUUGUGUGCCAUAUAGGUUGGUUGUCCUCUUAACCAAUGAGUGUGGAGAUACUGGUAUGGCAUAUAGGUGAGAUAUAAGGAUACAUCUGCACUGAACGUGACCGACUCCGGAGCUAUUUUUGCUGUCAAGAUUUGCUCUGAUGGAAUAUGGGUAUAAAUAUCCCUCCGAUCUGAGACCGCCAUGGUGACUUGCAAGCAACUCACUGCACUUAGGCACUGGACUACCUGAAUUUCUAAUUUAGUGACGGAAGGCUGCUGGGUGUAGUCAAGUACUUGACUUGUCGGUGCGUGUGUCAAGAUGGGAUUGACCACUCCAGUUUAUGAGCUGUGUACAGUCGGGUUUUAAUUUAGCAAAACCUUGAUCAGGGUAGUCAUUGUGAGGAGUCACAGGACUGUUUGAGUUGAGCACGAUUCGGAUGAUCUAAUCAGGAUGGACAGUUUAACCCUGAGUCGUCCUAAACACAGAGGUCAAAAGGAUGAAUUAUACAGUAACCAUAUUCACGUAGGUUCUGAGUGUUGCGAUUGCGACUAUUCGACCUAUCCGAUCGUCAGGUACCAUUACUAGAUGGUCACUUCGAUUAGUACAGAAAUUGAUUCCUGUGCUACCGGCUUAGGUUCGAACCUGCGGGGUCACACACAUUAGAGGUUCCCAUAUGAUCUGAUGGC
Molecule: long non-coding RNA, 667 nt
Filed under: Elaeis guineensis (African oil palm)
Lineage: Eukaryota; Viridiplantae; Streptophyta; Magnoliopsida; Arecales; Arecaceae
Description: long non-coding RNA (EGUI_LNC014139)
Source: RNAcentral